This 1695-nucleotide ribosomal RNA is filed under the name Triticum aestivum (bread wheat). RNAcentral describes it as "partial small subunit ribosomal RNA". Lineage: Eukaryota; Viridiplantae; Streptophyta; Magnoliopsida; Poales; Poaceae. The record is from RNAcentral.
AUGGAAAUAUUGAUGCCAAUGUGCUACAGUGGUUCACGAGAUCAGGGGCUGAUGGUUUUGACCAAUUUUGGUCAUCUUCUUUUCCCUACUUUUGAUCCGCCGUCAUUUGCGGCUACCAUGAAGCCUAGCGAAGAAUCUGGGCAUUGGUGCUUGAUUGUUCUGAAUUUGAGGAUCCGUCGUUUCGAGUGUCUUGAUUUACUGCGCGAUGAAUCCUGGAGUGAUGCAGUUAGAUUCUUAAGGACUCUGACAGAUAACAUAAGGAAGCUUUGGAGGGAGUCCAGCGUAGACAGAGCCAAACCGUUCUCGCAGGCGCAUAUUGAUGGUUACUCUUGCGAGUUUGUCAAGACCUAUCAUUGCCGGGAGGAUGGUGUGAUUGAAAUGUUGGAUUAUAGCCAUGAAGACAUUCUUGACAUUAGGAAGACUUUGAUGUAUACCUGCGCAACUAGCGAUGUGUUUGAUGUUGACUUCUGGGGUGAGUGGCUGGAUCUUGGUGAGCAUAACUACAGGAUCUUUGGCAGACAGUUCUCGGAGCUCGAGCGCGUAGCUAUUGAUCUUAGCCAGGGGCGUUCUCCCGAAAAGACAAGAUCUGGUGUUAUGAAGGGGCGGUUGGGAGCUCUGAAAGGUUCUACGGCUGCUUGUGCAGAGAGCCCCUCUACACCCAAGAAUCCCAUUGUGGAAUUGAUAGACAGCGAUGAUGAUGCGUUUCACAAGAUUGUUGGCAUGGGAAGAGUCACCAGGAGCGCUGCUGCCAAGGGUUUAUCUCCCCUUGCUGGAAUAGUGGCUCGUAGAGCUGGUGGUGCUAGGAAGGAUCCUGCUUUGGAUUCUGGCAAUGUUCAGCUUCAGCCUCAUAAUUUCCCUCAUCUGGACAAGGCUCGCAAGUUGUAUAAUCUGUUGCUUAGUGAUGAAGCAUGUGAGAAGUAUGCCGCGAAUACAUUCUCAGUGAUACCUCAGCCUGGUGAUAACGUAACUAGCUUCAUUGGGAAACGCAUCUGGGAAGUUUUUGCACCUGGGCAAAUGAUGGAGGGUGAUGUAAUGGACUUCCUCAUUGAUGAUCGGAAGAAAGAUCCCGAGAGAAAUGCUGAUUUUGCGUCUGGAAAAAGGGUAUUGCUGAGUCCAUAUUUCAUCACGGUUGUGCUUGACUGUACGUUUUACAGUGAUGAAAAUAAAAAGUUUAAUGUGGAGAGUGCAGCGAGAGAUUUCAAGAGCUAUGCUAAAGAUAAUGAAGACUUGCUCAGUGCCGACCUUAUCAUGAUGCCUCUAUUCAAACCUAUGAUUUUACCAAAGGAUAGGAAAGUGAACCACUUUUCCUUAUAUGUCAUGAAUCGGUACCGAAGUAGCGUUGACAUCCUUGACUCUUUACCUUAUCCAAAGAGCCAUCGUCCUUCAAAGAACACCUAUCAUAAAGACUGCGAGAAGAUUUACAAUGCGAGCAAGCAGCCCAAAUGGGAGGUUUUUGCAAAGAAACCAACGUUUGUGAAGGUUCCACUUCAAGGGGCGAAUGAAUGUGGCCAUUAUACUCUGAAGUAUGUGGGAUGCUAUGAUGGUGAAAAGAUCGUUGAGAACAUUCGAAAUAAUGACCCUCGUAUUGUUGAUUGGAACACUGAGGAUCUGUAUAGAGUUGUGUUCAAUCGGAAUAACCAGCUUCUGGUGACGGAGCUUCCCAAGGAGGUUCAAGCUUUGGCUCCUGGUGCAUAG